Molecule: transfer RNA, 64 nt
Filed under: Trigonopterus puspoi
Lineage: Eukaryota; Metazoa; Arthropoda; Insecta; Coleoptera; Curculionidae
Description: tRNA-Ala
Source: RNAcentral
AGGAUAAUAGUUUAUAAAAACAUUUAAGUUGCAUUUAAAAAUUAUUGACUACCAAUUUAUCUUU